UCGACCACAUCUCCUUAUCACUUUUCCAGCCCAGCUAUCCAUUCUGUAUUCGUUGGACGGAGAACUGAUAAGGGCAUGUGUCUGA
Molecule: microRNA precursor, 85 nt
Filed under: Oncorhynchus kisutch (coho salmon)
Lineage: Eukaryota; Metazoa; Chordata; Actinopteri; Salmoniformes; Salmonidae
Also listed under: 6 other names
Description: mir-184 microRNA precursor family
Rfam family: mir-184 microRNA precursor family
Source: Rfam by way of RNAcentral